Molecule: ribosomal RNA, 401 nt
Filed under: uncultured bacterium
Lineage: Bacteria
Description: bacterial SSU rRNA
Rfam family: Bacterial small subunit ribosomal RNA
Source: RNAcentral
CAGCCCUUGACAUGUCCAGGACCGGUCGCAGAGACGCGACCUUCUCUUCGGAGCUUGGAACACAGGUGCUGCAUGGCUGUCGUCAGCUCGUGUCGUGAGAUGUUGGGUUAAGUCCCGCAACGAGCGCAACCCUCGUCCUUAGUUGCCAUCAUUAAGUUGGGCACUCUAAGGAGACUGCCGGUGAUAAGCCGCGAGGAAGGUGGGGAUGACGUCAAGUCCUCAUGGCCCUUACGGGCUGGGCUACACACGUGCUACAAUGGCGGUGACAAUGGGCAGCGAACCCGCAAGGGGGAGCUAAUCUCCAAAAGCCGUCUCAGUUCGGAUUGCACUCUGCAACUCGAGUGCAUGAAGUUGGAAUCGCUAGUAAUCGUGGAUCAGCAUGCCACGGUGAAUACGUUCCC